Molecule: unclassified non-coding RNA, 353 nt
Filed under: soil metagenome
Description: partial contains 5.8S ribosomal RNA, internal transcribed spacer 2, and large subunit ribosomal RNA
Rfam family: 5.8S ribosomal RNA (bases 1-120)
Source: RNAcentral
GAUGAAGAACGCAGCGAAAUGCGAUAAGUAAUGUGAAUUGCAGAAUUCAGUGAAUCAUCGAAUCUUUGAACGCACAUUGCGCCCGCCAGUAUUCUGGCGGGCAUGCCUGUUCGAUCGUCAUUACAACCCUCAGGCCCCCGGGCCUGGCGUUGGGGAUCGGCGGAAGCCCCCUGCGGGCACAACGCCGUCCCCCAAAUACAGUGGCGGUCCCGCCGCAGCUUCCAUUGCGUAGUAGCUAACACCUCGCAACUGGAGAGCGGCGCGGCCACGCCGUAAAACACCCAACUUCUGAAUGUUGACCUCGAAUCAGGUAGGAAUACCCGCUGAACUUAAGCAUAUCAAUAAGCGGAGGA